UGGGGAAUUUUGGACAAUGGGGGAAACCCUGAUCCAGCCAUCCCGCGUGUGCGAUGAAGGCCUUCGGGUUGUAAAGCACUUUUGGCAGGAAAGAAACGUCAUGGGUUAAUACCCCGUGAAACUGACGGUACCUGCAGAAUAAGCACCGGCUAACUACGUGCCAGCAGUCGCGGUAAUACGUAGGGUGCAAGCGUUAAUCGGAAUUACUGGGCGUAAAGCGUGCGCAGGCGGUUCGGAAAGAAAGAUGUGAAAUCCCAGAGCUCAACUUUGGAACUGCAUUUUUAACUACCGGGCUAGAGUGUGUCAGAGGGAGGUGGAAUUCCGCGUGUAGCAGUGAAAUGCGUAGAUAUGCGGAGGAACACCGGUGGCGAAGGCAGCCUCCUGGGAUAACACUGACGCUCAUGCACGAAAGCGUGGGGAGCAAACAGG
RNAcentral lists this ribosomal RNA (429 nucleotides) under Acidobacteriota bacterium. RNAcentral's name for it is "Acidobacteria bacterium partial 16S ribosomal RNA". It matches the Rfam family "Bacterial small subunit ribosomal RNA", at positions 355 to 776 of the family's 1533-position model. Lineage: Bacteria; Pseudomonadati; Acidobacteriota. The record is from RNAcentral.